RNAcentral lists this ribosomal RNA (625 nucleotides) under Neottia camtschatea. Its description in RNAcentral is "eukaryotic LSU rRNA". The stretch from base 205 to 360 matches the Rfam family "5.8S ribosomal RNA". The record is from RNAcentral. Lineage: Eukaryota; Viridiplantae; Streptophyta; Magnoliopsida; Asparagales; Orchidaceae.
GUCGAGACCAAAAUAGACUGAGAGAUUCAGAUAACUCAUGAACCAAGUGGUGACAGUCACUGUCACAAAAUAAACAUACAACCAUAGCCUCGUCUCUUCAUGGAGACAUGGUGAAGGUUGUAUGAAAACCCGAGCUAGCGCAAUAUCGCGCCAAGGUAAUGUGCAAAACAUAAGCCCCAGUAGGUCUGGUGGUAUGGAUUAUAUGACUCUCGGCAACGGAUAUCUCGGCUCUCGCAUCGAUGAAGAGCGCAGCGAAAUGCGAUACGUGGUGCGAAUUGCAGAAUCCCGUGAACCAUCAAGUCUUUGAACGCAAGUUGCGCCCGAGGCCAAUCGGCCAAGGGCACGUCUGCCUGGGCGUCAAGCGUUGCGUCACUUCCUGCCAUCACCACCCACCAUUGGGUGUGUUGGUGCAUGCUCGAAUGUGAAGAGUGGUUCUCCGUGUCCUUAGAUGCGGCGGACUGAAGAACGGGUUGUUGUCCUCCUGGCCACGAUAGACAAGGGGUGGACGGAAGCCACGAGCACGGCCAAACAGUGUCUCAUGUUGGCCUGAGGAAGAUUAUACAUCCCAAGUGAACCCAUACCCAUAUGCCGUACCGCAAGCGCCGGCUUGGAAUGCGACCCCAGG